Molecule: ribosomal RNA, 972 nt
Filed under: Triticum aestivum (bread wheat)
Lineage: Eukaryota; Viridiplantae; Streptophyta; Magnoliopsida; Poales; Poaceae
Description: partial small subunit ribosomal RNA
Source: RNAcentral
AUGGAUGCACUAUCUGUUGUCGAAUUGCUCUUAUGGCAGAUCGUUAGCUUCUCACCUGUUGGUCCAUCUCAUGAUUUUAUUUGCCCUACAAGGAACAGAGAAAUUUGCUUGGCCUGUCAGAGCGUAAUCAUGCUAGGGAGUUCAAUUUUGAGCCUCGCAUCAUGCAAUUUAGUUUCUAUGCACGUGAUCGCCAGUGAUGGGUUUCGACUUCAUGCCUUCUGCAUUUUUUUGCAAUUUUGCGUAAACUAUAGGGAAGAAAACGUGACAAACUUUUCAUUGUAUCAACGAAUAUGCAGUAUUCGCCGCGUCGUGUCGUGGCUGAAACCAACAUGGUACUUUGCCAGCCACGACGCCGCGCCAUCAGUUGCGGCGCCCGCCGGCGGGAGCGGCCCACGCCGGCCGGCAUCGUCAUCACGCAAUGUACAAAGCCCAAACAAAACGCCACGCUCGUUAGCUACCGCUCAGGCCAUUGGCGUCGGCGGCCGCCUCGAGCCUCCGCCACCGUGCGUCGCGCGCGGCGGCCCGGGCGUCCGCCUCGGCCCGGCUCGCGGCGAGGUCGGCGGAGCAGCGGUCGUAGAGGUCGGGCGCCACCUGCAGGAGCAGCGCCUUGACGCUGGCGGUGACCUGCUGCACGCACUUGCUCCAGUGGCGCUCCAGGUUGUCCUCGACGCUGGCCACGAAGGGCGGCAGGAUGCGCUCCAUGGCGCCGCCGGCCGACGCCAUCUCCAGGAACCGCUCGUUGUUCCACACGUACAGCGCCCGCUCCGCCACCUGCAAAUCAAAACACAUAAUUUUUUUCCUCGUUCAGCCCACCACUCAUCAUCAAAGCAGUCAAGUGAUGGUAGUAUUAUGAUUAGUGCUAAGGAUAGGGUAGGGCAAUUAUCCAUGGCUGGAUUACACGACAAGGAACGUUUGCUCCGGUCAAAUCAUCGCCUUUGCAAAGCCGUUUGCAAAGCUAGUAGUUGGUACUAA